UACGGCAGGCAGCAGUGGGGAAUAUUGCACAAUGGGCGAAAGCCUGAUGCGGCUAUGCCGCGUGUAUGAAGAAGGCCUUAGGGUUGUAAAGUACUUUCAUCGGGGAGGAAAAAACAAAACUAAUAAUUUUAUUUCUUGACGUUACCCGAAAAAGAAGCACCGGCUAACUCCGUGCCAGCAGCCGCGGUAAUACGGAGGGUGCUAGCGUUAAUCAGAAUUACUGGGCGUAAAGAGCACGUAGGUGGUUUUUUUAAGUCAGAUGUGAAAUCCCUGGGCUUAACCUAGGAACUGCAUUUUGAAACUGAAAUACUAGAGUAUCGUAGAGGGAGGUAGAAUUCUAGGUGUAGCGGUGAAAUGCGUAGAUAUCUGGAGGAAUACCUGUGGCGAAAGCGGCCUCCUAAACGAAUACUGACACUGAGGUGCGAAAGCGUGGGGAGCAAACAGGGAUUAGAUACC
RNAcentral lists this ribosomal RNA (456 nucleotides) under uncultured bacterium. RNAcentral describes it as "bacterial SSU rRNA". It matches the Rfam family "Bacterial small subunit ribosomal RNA", at positions 340 to 786 of the family's 1533-position model. The record is from RNAcentral.